Molecule: ribosomal RNA, 402 nt
Filed under: uncultured bacterium
Lineage: Bacteria
Description: bacterial SSU rRNA
Rfam family: Bacterial small subunit ribosomal RNA
Source: RNAcentral
GCGCUAUCUAGGCGCACGGGUGCGUAACGCGUGGGAAUCUGCCCUUGGGUUCGGAAUAACAGUGGGAAACUACUGCUAAUACCGGAUGAUGACGUAAGUCCAAAGAUUUAUCGCCCAGGGAUGAGCCCGCGUAGGAUUAGCUAGUUGGUGGGGUAAAGGCCUACCAAGGCGACGAUCCUUAGCUGGUCUGAGAGGAUGAUCAGCCACACUGGGACUGAGACACGGCCCAGACUCCUACGGGAGGCAGCAGUGGGGAAUAUUGGACAAUGGGCGAAAGCCUGAUCCAGCAAUGCCGCGUGAGUGAUGAAGGCCUUAGGGUUGUAAAGCUCUUUUACCCGGGAUGAUAAUGACAGUACCGGGAGAAUAAGCUCCGGCUAACUCCGUGCCAGCAGCCGCGGUAAU